RNAcentral lists this ribosomal RNA (405 nucleotides) under uncultured Geitlerinema sp. RNAcentral describes it as "partial 23S ribosomal RNA". It matches the Rfam family "Bacterial large subunit ribosomal RNA", at positions 2081 to 2485 of the family's 2925-position model. The record is from RNAcentral. Lineage: Bacteria; Bacillati; Cyanobacteriota; Cyanophyceae; Geitlerinematales; Geitlerinemataceae.
CAGAAAGACCCUAUGAAGCUUUACUGUAACCUGAAAUUGAAAUUGGACUUUAUUCGCGCAGUAUAGGUGGGAGGUGUAGAAACCGGUCUUGAGGGAUUGGUGGAGCCAUCAGUGAGAUACCACUCUUGUAAUGUUAGAUUUCUAACUUUGAAUCAUUAUCUGGUCAAAGAACAGUUUCAGGCGGGCAGUUUGACUGGGGCGGUCGCCUCCCAAAUGGUAACGGAGGCGUACAAAGGUUUCCUCUGAACGAGUAGAAAUCGUAUCUAGAGUGUAAAGGCAUAAGGAAGCUUGACUGUGAGACCUACAAGUCGAGCAGGGACGAAAGUCGGUCUUAGUGAUCUGACGGUACUGAGUGGAAAGGCCGUCACUCAACGGAUAAAAGUUACUCUAGGGAUAACAGGCUGA